RNAcentral lists this ribosomal RNA (459 nucleotides) under uncultured bacterium. RNAcentral describes it as "partial 16S ribosomal RNA". It matches the Rfam family "Bacterial small subunit ribosomal RNA", at positions 338 to 795 of the family's 1533-position model. The record is from RNAcentral.
CCUACGGGUGGCAGCAGUGAGGAAUAUUGGUCAAUGGGCGCGAGCCUGAACCAGCCAAGUCGCGUGAGGGACGACGGUCCUAUGGAUUGUAAACCUCUUUUGUCGGGGAACAAAGGCCGCCACGCGUGGCGUUCUGAGAGUACCCGAAGAAAAAGCAUCGGCUAACUCCGUGCCAGCAGCCGCGGUAAUACGGAGGAUGCGAGCGUUAUCCGGAUUUAUUGGGUUUAAAGGGUGCGUAGGCGGACGUUCAAGUCAGCGGUAAAAUUGCGAGGCUCAACCUCGUAUAGCCGUUGAAACUGGCAGUCUUGAGUGGGCGAGAAGUAUGCGGAAUGCGUGGUGUAGCGGUGAAAUGCAGAGAUAUCACGCAGAACUCCGAUUGCGAAGGCAGCUUACUAAACUGCCACUGACAUUGAUGCACGAAAGUGUGGGUAUCAAACAGGAUUAGAUACCCGUGUAGUC